GUGAGGAAUCUUCCACAAUGGGCGAAAGCCUGAUGGAGCAACGCCGCGUGAAGGAUGAAGGUCUUCGGAUUGUAAACUUCUUUUAUGAGUGAAGAAUAUGACGGUAACUCAUGAAUAAGCACCGGCUAACUACGUGCCAGCAGCCGCGGUCAUACGUAGGGUGCAAGCAUUAUCCGGAGUGACUGGGCGUAAAGAGUUGCGUAGGCGGUUAUGUAAGCGAAUAGUGAAACCUGGUGGCUCAACCACACAGACUAUUAUUCGAACUGCAUAACUCGAGAAUGGUAGAGGUAACUGGAAUUUCUUGUGUAGGAGUGAAAUCCGUAGAUAUAAGAAGGAACACCAAUGGCGUAGGCAGGUUACUGGGCCAUCUCUGACGCUAAGGCACGAAAGCGUGGGGAGCGAACCGGAUUAGAUACCCCAGUAGUCC
This 427-nucleotide ribosomal RNA is filed under the name uncultured bacterium. RNAcentral describes it as "partial 16S ribosomal RNA". It matches the Rfam family "Bacterial small subunit ribosomal RNA", at positions 354 to 796 of the family's 1533-position model. The record is from RNAcentral.